Long non-coding RNA from Ananas comosus (pineapple), 1072 nucleotides. RefSeq lists it as uncharacterized. The transcript is spliced from 4 exons. NCBI's taxonomy places the organism in Eukaryota, Viridiplantae, Streptophyta, Magnoliopsida, Poales, Bromeliaceae. The record is from RefSeq and is a predicted model, not a curated record.
UCAGGUUGCAUACGGAGUAUAUGAUGCUCCAAAAUUUGAUGUCAAAUCCAAUAAUCCAUGCUGAUGUCUUCUGCUCGACAAAUGCAGUGAAAACUGCUGAUUGUGCUCCUCCGACGAAGCUCAUCCAUGUGUGUCAUGGUUGUAACACCAGCCAAGGAAACUACGGUUCCUACAAUCUUCGCUAUCCCGCGAGGACUUUUUGCAUCAAGAUGCUCCAAUCUAAAUUAGGAGGUGAUGUAUAGGCUCAUGGAAGACACUGAAUCCACUUCUUUGUCAUCCUCCACUAUUCACCACUCUUUAUUUAGGUUUUAUGUUAGCUGAUAUUGGUCCAAUUAUAGAAUUCGUUUGGAUAUAUAAAUAUUUUAUUCAGCACAUCUUUAUUUACUAUUCGGUAAAUAAGGAGUAUAAUCAAUGUUUAGAAACAUUUACGGUAUUCAACUUCGAAUAAUUCUUUUGAAUUAAGAUUAACUCACUUCUUCAAGUUUUUAACCAGAAAAGAAUAUUCUCAUAGCAUACAAGUUAUCAUCAAAUAAUAUAUUCUGACAUCCAAAGAGUCUCUUCUUAUCACCAAAUUACUUGUAUUAGCAUCUGAAUAAGUCCUUGUUGAUCUAGUAAAGGGAUUGAUACUACUGCAAAAUUAGUGACAUUCCCAUGGGGAACAAACUAUAGCAAGUUGAUGUUGUUCUUAGUGCACCAAAUGGGCUAACACAUCAUGCUUUUGCUGUUGUAUGUAUUGAUGGAGAACCUACUGGAAAAGCUUUGGAGCAUCACCUGGUGGAGAAGAGACAGAAUGUGCUUCAUUCCAAUUCUUACUGGAAUCCUCCAGCAAUGCUGCAUCAUAUAUACUGAUUUGGUUUGUAAGAUAAUUUUCCCAGAAUUGGGAGCUUCAGUCUCACCGUUGGUACCACAAUUUGAUUAUACAGAGAUCAGUUGUAUCGCCGACUGUUCCUAGUGCAAAUACCAAAAGGCUUGGUGGUUGGUAUCUGAGGUCCCAUAUUUGAAGUUUAGUUGUGUUACAUUUUCAGCUAAAUUUAUUUCUAAAAGAAAUAAACGAAGAGGGUUGCAUGCUACC